This 544-nucleotide ribosomal RNA is filed under the name uncultured archaeon. RNAcentral's name for it is "bacterial SSU rRNA". It matches the Rfam family "Bacterial small subunit ribosomal RNA", at positions 509 to 1050 of the family's 1533-position model. The record is from RNAcentral.
CAGCAGCCGCGGUAAUACGUAGGUGGCGAGCGUUGUCCGGAAUUAUUGGGCGUAAAGCGCGCGUAGGCGGCUUGUCAGGUCCGACGUGAAAUCCCGGGGCUCAACCCCGGACGUGCGUCGGAAACCGGCUUGCUUGAGUCUGGGAGAGGGAAGUGGAAUUCCUGGUGUAGCGGUGAAAUGCGCAGAUAUCAGGAGGAACACCGGUAGCGAAGGCUGCUUCCUGGAACAGUACUGACGCUGAGGCGCGAAAGCUAGGGGAGCGAACAGGAUUAGAUACCCUGGUAGUCCUAGCCGUAAACGAUGGACACUAGGUGUCGGGAGUGUCGACUCUCCCGGUGCCGAAGCUAACGCAUUAAGUGUCCCGCCUGGGGAGUACGGCCGCAAGGUUAAAACUCAAAGGAAUUGACGGGGGCCCGCACAAGCAGCGGAGCAUGUGGUUUAAUUCGACGCAACGCGAAGAACCUUACCAGGGCUUGACAUGUACGUGGUAGGAAUCUGAAAGGUGACCGACCCUUCGGGGAGCGUACACAGGAGGUGCAUGGCC